UUUUUUUUUUUGCUGGUGUAUCGCCGCGCGUUUUGCCUCCACAAUCGGUUUAUUCUCCAGCCCUCCGGGUCGCAGUGUGUUUCAGUUACUAAUCGGGAUUUUUUCGCUCCUCUCUCCCCUCUCUGCUUCAGAGGAUCUGCAGUUUCAAAAAGCCGAUUGAGCACGGCGUGAGGCUGACGACCGGGGGGGGCUCCUACCGCCACUAGAGCAGUCCUCGUUCCGUGCCCCGCAAGGAGGAGCCCCAGUUGAACCCACAGCGCAUCGCAUCCCCGCUUUCCCCCCCAUAUCCCCAGCAUCUCGCACUCCCUGUGGAUGUCACCAGCAUCGCUGUUUCAGGGCUGGGGAUGGUACUCCCAGCUCAGCCGGGCACUUUCAUUCAUAAAAAUGCAAGAUUGCAUCCAUGAAUGUGUGCAUAAUGAACCCAGAAGGAAUGCGGCACUAAAAGAAGCCUUUGUAAUGUUGCUAUUUUAAGGAGACCCUUGGGUAUGGCACGUGUUGAACUGAGUUUCUCUAACAUCUUACAACAAACCAAAAUGUUUAGAUCCUCCCACUGAUGUAAAACAUCAUAAAAAAAAUACAUAAUCAAUCUAAACUGGCUAUGGUUUUGACCAGGAAUUAUUGCUCUUGUGAAUUGGCUCUGUAUUGUAGCUAACUUUUACAUGGCCUAAUAAUAAACAUCUCCUCCUUCCAGCUGGAUGAAUGUUUCCCUUCUGGUGGAGAUGAGAUCCCAGCCUGGAUAAAACACCUCUUGUCCUUUCUCUUCUGGGUCACUCAGGUUCAGUGAAACAUCACGACUUACAUCAGCCAAAGCCUUUGAUCAGGGGAGGGAAAGGUCUGACAUGGAUGGGGUUGACAGCCACGCUGCAAAAAUCCCUCAUUGUGCAAGAAGCCAGUCCAAUGACCGAGUGUCACCAAGGGUGAGACAGCCUUUUCUGCUCUGUUUUCACUUGGCUAUUGCUGGUGUUUUGUUUGCAGUCAAGGCCAAAAUAUACAAGCAGCAGCUUUGGACACGUUGCGUUUGUGCAUUUAGCCAGAUAGCCAUGAUGAAUUUCUGGCCAUUUUUGUUGCAUGUGUUGUAAAGAGCAGAAUUUUGCUGUCAACGUUCUAUUUUUACAUGGUCAGAGAGGAGAAGGAGUAGAAUAGAAGUGUAAUUGACACUGUACAAAGCUGAAGUCGUAACUCUUGGCUGAGAUGACUGGAAGCUGUGUGUGAUGGCUUCUUUGUUGGCUCUUUAAGAAAACAUCUGCUCUGGGUCUCGUGGACAAAACCCAGGGUGAAAAAUUCUCACACUGCAAAAUGAGAAGCCAGAUGAAAAGCCCAGAGAAGCUGUGGACGCUCCACCUCUGGAGGUGCUCAAGGCCAGGUUGGAUGGGGCUUGAUCUGGUGGGUGGUAAACCUGCUCAUAGCCCAGGGUUAGGACUGGAUGACCUUUGAGGAUGUUUUCAGCCUAAGCUGUUCUAUGAUUCAAUGGCUUUCUCCAUUAGCAUCCAGCACUCAAGGAACAGGGCUGCUUUGGAAAUGAAUGUCAGAAUAAGGAAAAUAGGCUUUUUGUACUCACAAAAAAACAAAUGCUCAAGAAGAGUGAGGGUGAGAGUCAAAGCUAUUAAAACACUUCCUGGGACAGUAUUUUGGUUUUCAGCAGCUUUCUCUUCUGUUUUGUUUCAAUUUCUUCUAAACCCCAUCCUCUGAGUGGUAUGAAAUAAAAAAUAGUAAUAAAUAGAUUUUUCUG
Lagopus leucura (white-tailed ptarmigan) is the source of this 1729-nucleotide long non-coding RNA. RefSeq lists it as uncharacterized. The transcript is spliced from 3 exons. The record is from RefSeq and is a predicted model, not a curated record. NCBI's taxonomy places the organism in Eukaryota, Metazoa, Chordata, Aves, Galliformes, Phasianidae.